AGUUAUGAUGAUUUAUCCUUUGGAAUCUCGUUCGUCUGAAACCUUGUUGAGAGACUUUGAAACUGAUGCUU
Molecule: small nucleolar RNA, 71 nt
Gene: SNORD30
Rfam family: Small nucleolar RNA SNORD30
About the family: U30 is a member of the C/D class of snoRNA which contain the C (UGAUGA) and D (CUGA) box motifs. U30 is encoded within the U22 snoRNA host gene (UHG) in mammals and is thought to act as a 2'-O-ribose methylation guide for ribosomal RNA.
Source: Ensembl